RNAcentral lists this ribosomal RNA (465 nucleotides) under uncultured bacterium. RNAcentral's name for it is "bacterial SSU rRNA". It matches the Rfam family "Bacterial small subunit ribosomal RNA", at positions 338 to 795 of the family's 1533-position model. The record is from RNAcentral.
CCUACGGGCCGCACCAGUGGGGAAUAUUGGACAAUGGGCGCAAGCCUGAUGCAGCCAUGCCGCGUGUAUGAAGAAGGCCUUCGGGUUGUAAAGUACUUUCAGCGGGGAGGAAGGUGUUGAGGUUAAUAACCUCAGCAAUUGACGUUACCCGCAGAAGAAGCACGGGCUAACUCCGUGCCAGCAGCCGCGGUAAUACGGAGGGUGCAAGCGUUAAUCGGAAUUACUGGGCGUAAAGCGCACGCAGGCGGUCUGUCAAGUCGGAUGUGAAAUCCCCGGGCUCAACCUGGGAACUGCAUUCGAAACUGGCAGGCUAGAGUCUUGUAGAGGGGGGUAGAAUUCCGGGUGUAGCGGUGAAAUGCGUAGAGAUCUGGAGGAAUACCGGUGGCGAAGGCGGCCCCCUGGACAAUGACUGACGCUCAGGUGCGAAAGCGUGGGGAGCAAACAGGAUUAGAUACCCCUGUAGUC